UAGGGAAUCUUCGGCAAUGGACGGAAGUCUGACCGAGCAACGCCGCGUGAGUGAAGAAGGUUUUCGGAUCGUAAAGCUCUGUUGUAAGAGAAGAACGAGUGUGAGAGUGGAAAGUUCACACUGUGACGGUAUCUUACCAGAAAGGGACGGCUAACUACGUGCCAGCAGCCGCGGUAAUACGUAGGUCCCGAGCGUUGUCCGGAUUUAUUGGGCGUAAAGCGAGCGCAGGCGGUUAGAUAAGUCUGAAGUUAAAGGCUGUGGCUUAACCAUAGUACGCUUUGGAAACUGUUUAACUUGAGUGCAAGAGGGGAGAGUGGAAUUCCAUGUGUAGCGGUGAAAUGCGUAGAUAUAUGGAGGAACACCGGUGGCGAAAGCGGCUCUCUGGCUUGUAACUGACGCUGAGGCUCGAAAGCGUGGGGAGCAAACAGGAUUANAUACCCUGGUAGUCCACGCCGUANNGAUGAGUGCUAGGUGUUAGACCCUUUCCGGGGUUUAGUGNCGCAGCUAACGCAUUAAGCACUCCGCCUGGGGAGUACNACCGCAAGGNUG
RNAcentral lists this ribosomal RNA (549 nucleotides) under uncultured bacterium. RNAcentral's name for it is "bacterial SSU rRNA". It matches the Rfam family "Bacterial small subunit ribosomal RNA", at positions 355 to 896 of the family's 1533-position model. The record is from RNAcentral.